AGUGAACGCUGGCGGUAGGCCUAACACAUGCAAGUCGAACGGCAGCACAGUAAGAGCUUGCUCUUACGGGUGGCGAGUGGCGGACGGGUGAGGAAUACAUCGGAAUCUACUUUUUCGUGGGGGAUAACGUAGGGAAACUUACGCUAAUACCGCAUACGACCUACGGGUGAAAGCAGGGGAUCUUCGGACCUUGCGCGAUUGAAUUAGCCGAUGUCGGAUUAGCUAGUUGGCGGGGUAAAGGCCCACCAAGGCGACGAUCCGUAGCUGGUCUGAGAGGAUGAUCAGCCACACUGGAACUGAGACACGGUCCAGACUCCUACGGGAGGCAGCAGUGGGGAAUAUUGGACAACGGGCGCAAGCCUGAUCCAGCCAUACCGCGUGGGUGAAGAAGGCCUUCGGGUUGUAAAGCCCUUUUGUUGGGAAAGAAAAGCAGCAGGUUAAUACCCCGCUGUUCUGACGGUACCCAAAGAAUAAGCACCGGCUAACUUCGUG
Molecule: ribosomal RNA, 492 nt
Filed under: uncultured bacterium
Lineage: Bacteria
Description: partial 16S ribosomal RNA
Rfam family: Bacterial small subunit ribosomal RNA
Source: RNAcentral